Molecule: ribosomal RNA, 497 nt
Filed under: uncultured bacterium
Lineage: Bacteria
Description: partial 16S ribosomal RNA
Rfam family: Bacterial small subunit ribosomal RNA
Source: RNAcentral
GAUGAACGCUGGCGGCGUGCCUAAUACAUGCAAGUCGAGCGAACAGACGAGGAGCUUGCUCCUCUGACGUUAGCGGCGGACGGGUGAGUAACACGUGGAUAACCUACCUAUAAGACUGGGAUAACUUCGGGAAACCGGAGCUAAUACCGGAUAAUAUAUUGAACCGCAUGGUUCAAUAGUGAAAGACGGUUUUGCUGUCACUUAUAGAUGGAUCCGCGCCGCAUUAGCUAGUUGGUAAGGUAAUGGCCUACCAAGGCAACGAUGCGUAGCCGACCUGAGAGGCGGGUAGCCGGCCUGAGAGGUGAAACAGGGACCAGGCGACUACGGGAGGGAGCAGAAGGGAACGUGCGGCAACAGUGGAGAGUCUGACGGAGUAAGCGGGAGUGAGAGACAAAAGUGUUCGGAGCGGAAUACCCGGUUAUUGGGUGAGAACAAAUUUGUAAGGAACUGUGCCCUGAGUGACGGUACUGGAUCAGGAAGCCACGGCUAACUACGUG